CCGGUUGAUCCUGCCGGAGGCGACCGCUGUGGGAGUCCGAUUAAGCCAUGCGAGUCGAGAGAAUAAGAUUCUCGGCAUACCGCUCAGUAACACGUGGAUAACCUGCCCUGUGCUGGGGGAUAACCUCGCGAAAGUGAGAACAAUACCCCAUGGGUCACUACGCCUGGAACGGUGGGUGGCUGAAAGCUCCGGCGGCACAGGAUGGGUCUGCGGCGUAUCAGGUUGUAGGGGGUGUAACGGACCUCCUAGCCUUCAACGCGUACGGGUUGUGAGAGCAAUUGCCCGGAGAUGGAUUCUGAGACACGAAUCCAGGCCCUACGGGGCGCAGCAGGCGCGAAAACUUGACAAUGCGAGAAAUCGUGAUCAGGGGACUCCAGUUGGCUGGAUCAAAAGUCCAGUCUGAACCGACUUUAAAUCGGUCGGGUAAUAGGGGCGGGAAAGACCGGUGCCAGCCGCCGCGGUAAUACCGGCGCCCCAAGUGGUCGUCACUAUUAUUGGGCCUAAAACGUCCGUAGCCGGUUUGGUAAAUCCGUGGGUAAAUCAGACAGCCCAACUGUCUGAAUUCUGCGGGGACUGCCAGACUUGAGACCGGGAGAGGUACGGGGUACCUGCGGGGUAGCGGUAAAAUGCGAUCAUCCCGUAGGGACCACCUGUUGCGAAGGCGCCGUACUAGAACGGAUCUGACGGUCAGGGACGAAGCCUAGGGGCACGAACCGGAUUAGAUACCCGGGUAGUCCUAGGUGUAAACGCUGUGGACUUGGUGUCGGG
Molecule: ribosomal RNA, 768 nt
Filed under: uncultured archaeon
Lineage: Archaea
Description: bacterial SSU rRNA
Rfam family: Archaeal small subunit ribosomal RNA
Source: RNAcentral